AGGGAUAUCUUUGCAUUUAACAUGAAAAAUGUACACCUGUGCAUUGUCAACAAGGUUAUGCUUUUGUUGGCUAUCUAGACCUCAAUGAUUUAUCUGUCAUUAAUGCCACUGGUCACUGGCCCAUGUUUCCAGUAGCAAGAUUGAAAAGAGGAAGACGUAUGUUACUGGGGGGUCUCUAAUCCCUCACCUGGACUAUUCUAAGCAAGAAAAGGUUAAAUGACUUGUGCACUGGGAAGAAAAAAAAAAAAAACAGUUGUCAUCCGUGGUGCCAAAAAUAGAAGUUCUGAUUUCCAGUCCUGUGAUCUCAACAGAAGACAGAAUGUUCACUCUAUCUGACUGAUACAAAAUACAACUUCUCCAAGGACUCUAUUAUUUUGAACUACUGUGUGCUGCACAUAUGCCAGGAGCUGAUUCAGUGGUUUCAUCCAAAUGUAAAGCAAAAUAUGGAAUUAUUUCAACAUAUAAUAAUAACUACUGUUACACUUAUGUAAGGCAAUAAAAAUAUUUUUGGCAAAAGCUUGUCCUGCUUUCUUUUUUGAGCAUAAUUUAUGUUUUACAAUCUUGUUGGCAAAAGUGUGACCUAUGUCUGUUUUUGUUCUGGUGAGUGCAACUAAGAAUGAUGCCACUGUCAUUUUUGUUCUUUUCUCUGUUUUGCAUGACAACAUUAAUAACUUUCACAAGGAAAAGUAUUAACUAGCAAAUAUUUCUGAAAAACUCAGAUA
This 722-nucleotide long non-coding RNA is filed under the name Homo sapiens (human). RNAcentral describes it as "HSALNT0369428". Lineage: Eukaryota; Metazoa; Chordata; Mammalia; Primates; Hominidae. The record is from RNAcentral.